RNAcentral lists this long non-coding RNA (348 nucleotides) under Ananas comosus (pineapple). RNAcentral's name for it is "long non-coding RNA (ACOM_LNC030324)". Lineage: Eukaryota; Viridiplantae; Streptophyta; Magnoliopsida; Poales; Bromeliaceae. The record is from RNAcentral.
UUUGUUUCUAUAUAUUUUUUUUUAGUUAUGUCUUCUCCCACUUUGCCACAUCCCAAUUCAUCUCAACAAUCAGCAUCUUUUAUUGGCACUAAUGAACCAUGUGAUACUCAAGAGAAGGAUGAAACUGUUGAUAAUCAUGAUAUGGAUGGGAUUGAAAAUGAACUAGAAGGAAAGAAAAUUCGUAAAAAAGUUUCAAAGAUUUGGGAAUGUUUUGAAGAAGUAGAAGUUCUUGAGAAUAAAGUAUUAGUGAAAAAACUCAAAUACAAAUAUUGUAUAAGAAAGUAUUGCAAAUCAGAGACGGGCACCACCUCACAGCUAAAAAGGCAUAUGAAUGAAUGUUUUUACUUG